RNAcentral lists this unclassified non-coding RNA (1009 nucleotides) under Hevea brasiliensis (rubber tree). Lineage: Eukaryota; Viridiplantae; Streptophyta; Magnoliopsida; Malpighiales; Euphorbiaceae. The record is from RNAcentral.
UGACCACAUGGUAACACGCGUAAUUAAUAAUGCAGCCAGAGAAUAAUUAUCAACAUCAUCUCAAAAGAACUUUGAAAACAUAAAAACAGAGUAAAAUUCAUUUUCUUACAAGGCCAAAAAGUGAGCAUACAUGAAAAAAAAAUGCAAAAUGAGAUGUCACAAACAAUCUCAAUUUACAUGUAAAACAAGACAGAAAACUAGAUUAUGAUUUCAUCUACAUUUAUGCACCUUAAAAUUUAUGAAACAACUUCUAUCUUCUUUCAAGUUGGGGAAAAAACAAAGUUGAAUUUGGACUUUGAGUUUGAAAUGUAAGUACUUGAAUUUGAGCUUUUAGUUAGAAUUUAUAAACAGAGAUUUAUACUUGUUAAAGGAAAAAGAGAUGAAUCAAAAUAUAGUGGACAUUUGAUAUUAUACCUUUUAAGUAGGAAUUUUGUAUUCACACUAACUUUCAUCCACAUUUACGAACCUACUUUUAUUCACGAAUUUAAUACACUAAAUAAAAUCAAUAUAUUAUAAAACUACUUCAAUUAGUUCAAUUCAAAUUUAAAAGAUUAAGCGAGUCCAAAUACAACCUAAGAUCAUUGUUCAAGUAAAGCGUGGUUCAACGAAAGUCCUGUUUACCUAACAAGAGACGAUUGGAGGGGAAAAAAAAAGGUGAAAGGGCACAAUUUGAUGAGUUGGUACUGUGCGAACUCGUAGCACGCAAGAACAGUUACAAAUUCAUAAAACAAAAUAUCUCAGUAUAAAACAAACUUUAUAUCGGCAACGUAGCAUUUAAUCUUCUAACCUCAAUUAUGUAUAUAUGUUGCCAUUGAGUGGGUUAGAGCAAUUGUUGUAAUCACUGAUAGGAGGACAAUUUGUUGAAGUAAUUCAGUAUAAGGAAUAGCAAAUUACAAAGUUUUAUAUUGACACCAUGUAUAGGGGCAGAAAAAGCGAGUGUUAAUCGACAUUAUAUGUCAAUGAAAGAGAUACAGAAACAAUGUUACCUCAAUGGCAACAACAGUAAGGA